GACGAACGCUGGCGGCGUGCUUAACACAUGCAAGUCGAACGGUAAGGCCCUUCGGGGUACACGAGUGGCGAGCGGGUGAGUAACACGUGGGUGAUCUGCCCUGCACUUCGGGAUAAGCCUGGGAAACUGGGUCUAAUACCGGAUAGGACCACUGCCUUCAUGGGUGGGGGUGGAAAGCUUUUGCGGUGUGGGAUGGGCCCGCGGCCUAUCAGCUUGUUGGUGGGGUGAUGGCCUACCAAGGCGACGACGGGUAGCCGGCCUGAGAGGGUGACCGGCCACACUGGGACUGAGAUACGGCCCAGACUCCUACGGGAGGCAGCAGUGGGGAAUAUUGCACAAUGGGCGCAAGCCUGAUGCAGCGACGCCGCGUGAGGGAUGACGGCCUUCGGGUUGUAAACCUCUUUCAGCACCGACGAAGCGCAAGUGACGGUAGGUGCAGAAGAAGGACCGGCCAACUACGUGCCAGCCGCCGCCGUAA
RNAcentral lists this ribosomal RNA (478 nucleotides) under uncultured bacterium. Its description in RNAcentral is "partial 16S ribosomal RNA". It matches the Rfam family "Bacterial small subunit ribosomal RNA", at positions 28 to 523 of the family's 1533-position model. The record is from RNAcentral.